CAACCCUCAAGCCCCCUCGGGGGCUCGGUGUUGGGGACCGGCCCUGCCUCGCAGCGGGCGCCGCCCCCGAAAUCCAUUGGCGGUCUCGCCGCAGCCUCCUCUGCGUAGUAAUUUUGCACCUCGCACCGGAGCGCGGCUCGGCCACGCCGUAAAACCCCAACUUCUUAAAGG
This 171-nucleotide unclassified non-coding RNA is filed under the name uncultured Hypomyces. RNAcentral's name for it is "sequence contains ITS2". Lineage: Eukaryota; Fungi; Ascomycota; Sordariomycetes; Hypocreales; Hypocreaceae. The record is from RNAcentral.